GUUAUAUUUUUGUAUUUUGUUUUUUGUUCAGGUCCAAAAUCAAAUUUGACUAAUUCAAGGAAUUAAAGUUUCAUUGCAUCUAAAUAAGGUAAAGUGUACUUUGUUUAAUAUUAUUAUCUUAUUAUUUGCAUAAAUUUUCUUUUUCAAUAAUAGAAACGAAACAAAAAACUUAAACAAAAUUCCACUAUGGCUCCUCUAAUCCUUUUCGUGCUCUUUCGACUCCUUUGCUCGCUCUGUGAAGUAGAGAUGGAAAGUUUUCGAUAUUUAUCGAUCAUCGAUCAUCUUUAAUGCUCUCACAGUUGGUGUUCCUUAUCCGAAUCCAAAUACAAUUAAAACUCACCUUGAACCGCUCGGCACAGCAGGGCAUGGCCGCAAAGAUAUCAUAUGC
Long non-coding RNA from Drosophila serrata, 388 nucleotides. The record is from RefSeq and is a predicted model, not a curated record. Lineage: Eukaryota; Metazoa; Arthropoda; Insecta; Diptera; Drosophilidae.